This 92-nucleotide transfer RNA is filed under the name Streptomyces rimosus subsp. rimosus. Its description in RNAcentral is "tRNA-Ala(cgc)". The record is from RNAcentral. Lineage: Bacteria; Bacillati; Actinomycetota; Actinomycetes; Kitasatosporales; Streptomycetaceae.
GCGCGCUCGGCAAUGCCUGGCGCGCCCGUGCGCGCCCGCGCCGCGCAUCGGGCGCGCGCCUGAUGCGCGGCUUCGAAGGGUGCGGCGCGCUC